RNAcentral lists this long non-coding RNA (220 nucleotides) under Eucalyptus grandis. Its description in RNAcentral is "long non-coding RNA (EGRA_LNC007295)". The record is from RNAcentral. Lineage: Eukaryota; Viridiplantae; Streptophyta; Magnoliopsida; Myrtales; Myrtaceae.
GGUGCCAAAGCGAAAUUACCAAUCACAAUUCAAAGACGUCACGCGAGAGAGCUGAAUCAAAGUCUGCUUUACUUGUUAAGCCAUCAAUAUUCCGACAAUACUGACACUUUUAGAAAGAAUGAAUAACAAAACAAUGAUAAUAAUAGAAAUCAAAACUUGCAUACAGAAACUUAUUCAAGAAGAGUCUAACGUAUUUGGAAGUCGAAAAAAUAUUUAGUGG